This is a small nuclear RNA of Callipepla squamata (scaled quail), 128 nucleotides long. NCBI's taxonomy places the organism in Eukaryota, Metazoa, Chordata, Aves, Galliformes, Odontophoridae. The record is from Rfam.
GUGUUGUAUGAAAGGAAAGAAAGUUAGUGUUCCCCUUUAUAAUGAUGGGAGAGGCCAUAGUGGCCUGCAUAACAUGCAUACGGUGAAGGCAUUGCCAACUACUUCAUAGGAUCUAAUCACGUUUUUGG